GAUGAAGAACGCAGCGAAAUGCGAUAAGUAGUGUGAAUUGCAGAAUUCAGUGAAUCAUCGAAUCUUUGAACGCACAUUGCGCCCUUUGGUAUUCCUUAGGGCAUGCCUGUUCGAGCGUCAUUUAAACCUUCAAGCUAAGCUUGGUGUUGGGUGACUAUCCGCUUCACGGCGGACUCGCCUCAAAAUUAUUGGCGGCCGGUACAUUGGCUUCGAGCGCAGCAGAAACGCGAACUCGGGCCCGUCGUAUUGGCUCCCAGAAGCUAUCUUCACAAUUUUGACCUCGGAUCAGGUAGGGAUACCCGCUGAACUUAAGCAUAUCAAUAAGCGGAGGA
This 332-nucleotide unclassified non-coding RNA is filed under the name soil metagenome. Its description in RNAcentral is "partial contains 5.8S ribosomal RNA, internal transcribed spacer 2, and large subunit ribosomal RNA". The stretch from base 1 to 120 matches the Rfam family "5.8S ribosomal RNA", at positions 35 to 154 of the family's 154-position model. The record is from RNAcentral.